AUGCCCGGCCAAAAAGCUGCAGGAUUGCCUUCACGGCCUCGAUGUCGUCCGGCUGCUGGUGACAGAAGAGGACCACAUCAUCCGCAUAAAGCGAGAUGGGGGGAUCGGCCGGGAGGGGUGCAGCCGGCGUAUGAUCCCGAGCUCGGUGGCGUGCUUGAACAGACGACCAAGGGUGUCGACAGCCAAGACGAACAGCUGCGGCGACAUGGGGUCCCCUUGGCGCAGGCCUUGGCGGUGCCAAAUUGGGGGGCCAAGGCUUCCAUUGAGCAGCACCUUGGUGCUAGCAGAAGACAAGAGGAUCGCCAGCCACUCAAGGAAUCUAUCCCCGAAGCCAUAUUGUUUCAGCACCUCGAAGAGGAAAGGCCAGGAUAUCGAGUCGAACGCCCUCGCGAGAUCAAGCUUCAGCAUUACGCGCGGUGCUCCCAACUGGUGCAGAAGACGAGCAGAUUGGCGCACCAGGACGAAAUUGUCAUGGAGGCUGCGCCCAGGGAUGAAGGCGUUCUGGUUGUUGCUGACGAGGGCGUCGAGUCUCGACGCGAGGUGGAGCGAUAG
RNAcentral lists this ribosomal RNA (552 nucleotides) under Triticum aestivum (bread wheat). RNAcentral's name for it is "partial small subunit ribosomal RNA". The record is from RNAcentral. Lineage: Eukaryota; Viridiplantae; Streptophyta; Magnoliopsida; Poales; Poaceae.